GUCCCCUCUCAAGACGCUGAAUCCCGCGAAAUGUGUCUUCAGUCCCUCAUCAAGGCCCCUACCACGAGAAUACCACAGGCCCUUUCAAGACCCCCACUCACACCAGCAGAAGGCCCCCGGGAACCUGGACACGCACACGUACGGAAUAUCAAGUACCUCAUGAAGCGGAGAUUGAGCAAGAAAUCGUGAAUGAAGAAGAUUCCUCCCACCCCGUCAUCAGGAUCAUCGCCAUCGACAGCCCAGUCAGUUGGCCGUCGACGUCACUCUCGUUACGCCGUCGCACUCGUAUCGAAAUAUAGUAUUUUGAUUUUAAUUGGAACGAGAAUAAAAUCGAUAGGUGGCCUUGAGGGAUCUUUAAAGGGAUCGCCGGAGGAUCCCUCCGGUGGCAGAAGAUAUUGGGACGACAAUUCUUGAUACGUUUGCAAUGACAACAAUCAAUUCGCUGCUCCAUCAUCUCUCGCGCUAGAAUGAUACAUUAGAGUCGCAGUUGGCAUCGGAUACAAUUGAAAAAGCAACACCUACCCACGCACUCCAAUGCUGUAGAAAGAAACCGAGAUUAACACAGACGUAUACACAAGUGUGGGCAGAUUAUUUUUGUAUUUCAGCACAUCAGCCUGUUACAUCUGUCUCUCUCUGGUUCUCUCGCUCCUAAAAAUGCAAAUUACUGGCAUAACUGACGUCCUCAACCGCGCUUUUCAGCCAAGUCUCAUCUCUCUAGAGAUAAACCUGGUGUGGAUGAGGUUAAGAAAUUGGUCGGCGUAUGGGAGAAGAUUAAAUUGGAAUGUCCCUCCGCCAAUCGGGAAAACACCCGGAUUUCUUCAUCAUUUAGCACUUGUGACGCCCAAAUUGUGCGGAGUUUAUCAGUUUAUCAGUUGGGAGAACAUCCGAUGCACAAUCGGAAGGUCUCGGGUUCAAACCCCGAUCUGGUUUCAGUUACUUCAUCGUCUCCAGUAUCAACUGCUAAACUCCUGGACAAAUCUAACCCCUCGAAAGGAUCGACUUGGAAGAGGGCUUAUGGAGUCCACUUCAACCCUCUUCUGUUGCUCCAACAGCAUUCGAUAAUAUCGCAGGAGUGUUUCCUCGCAAUUUGCGGUCCUUUUGUCUCAAGGAUCCCCAGGUUCACCUUGGAUAAAGGGCCAUGGUUAUAUACUUCGGAUUUCCUCCCCCCUCCUGCGCCCCACCUCCACUCGUGAUCCUUGAAAACCUGAGUAAUGCGGGGAGAGCCCCAUUGUUUCUGGUCAAAGGAAGUGCACGAUCAUUUGGAGCCCAGGAUUCAGCAGUUCGAGGGAAUAUUAAUUAUCAUCUGAGUGGCCCACUCGUAAUCACAGGGUGAUAUUUACUUUGUUCUUGUCAUAAUUGAUUUAUUAGAAUUUUUAUACUCACGAAGUGGUGGGGAUAUUCCUCGUGAAUAUGGAAAUCCGAUGAAUCAGAAUUUUUUUUAAUCGCUCCAGUGGCAUCGAUUUCCCGUCAUCGGAGUUUAUUUUUCGCACAGGUGAGAGCUGAAGUUGAAAUUAUGGGUCUGUUUAACGGCGAAUGGCAAUUACCGA
Diachasmimorpha longicaudata is the source of this 1547-nucleotide RNA transcript. RefSeq lists it as uncharacterized. The record is from RefSeq and is a predicted model, not a curated record. NCBI's taxonomy places the organism in Eukaryota, Metazoa, Arthropoda, Insecta, Hymenoptera, Braconidae. The transcript has 5 exons.